Molecule: long non-coding RNA, 214 nt
Filed under: Elaeis guineensis (African oil palm)
Lineage: Eukaryota; Viridiplantae; Streptophyta; Magnoliopsida; Arecales; Arecaceae
Description: long non-coding RNA (EGUI_LNC082100)
Source: RNAcentral
AUUGCAAUAGUAACGAUACAGAAAUAAUAUUUCUAAUGAUCUUAGGCAUAUAAUAAUAAUUUUCUAGCUCUAAGAUCUUUUCAGAAGGUAACUUUAACAUAUAUGUCCCUACAGCCUCUGCUUGGAUUGACUCUUCUCCAGCAUCGUAGAACUCGAAGUCACCCUUCUUCAGCACUCUAAUGUUCUGCAGCCCCUGCAACGACUUGCAGAUAUG